CCUACGGGCGGCAGCAGUGAGGAAUAUUGGUCAAUGGACGAGAGUCUGAACCAGCCAAGUAGCGUGAAGGAUGACUGCCCUAUGGGUUGUAAACUUCUUUUAUAUGGGAAUAAAAUGUUCCACGUGUGGGAUUUUGUAUGUACCAUAUGAAUAAGGAUCGGCUAACUCCGUGCCAGCAGCCGCGGUAAUACGGAGGAUCCGAGCGUUAUCCGGAUUUAUUGGGUUUAAAGGGAGCGUAGGUGGCUUGUUAAGUCAGUUGUGAAAGUUUGCGGCUCAACCGUAAAAUUGCAGUUGAAACUGGCAGUCUUGAGUACAGUAGAGGUGGGCGGAAUUCGUGGUGUAGCGGUGAAAUGCUUAGAUAUCACGCAGAACUCCGAUUGCGAAGGCAGUUCACUGGACUGCAACUGACACUGAGGCUCGAACGUGUGGGUAUCAAACAGGAUUAGAUACCCCGGUAGUC
This 460-nucleotide ribosomal RNA is filed under the name uncultured bacterium. RNAcentral describes it as "partial 16S ribosomal RNA". It matches the Rfam family "Bacterial small subunit ribosomal RNA", at positions 338 to 795 of the family's 1533-position model. The record is from RNAcentral.